GGAGCAACGCCGCGUGNGUGAUGAAGGUUUUCGGAUCGUAAAGCUCUGUUGUUAGGGAAGAACAAGUGCCGUUCAAAUAGGGCGGCACCUUGACGGUACCUAACCAGAAAGCCACGGCUAACUACGUGCCAGCAGCCGCGGUAAUACGUAGGUGGCAAGCGUUGUCCGGAAUUAUUGGGC
RNAcentral lists this ribosomal RNA (180 nucleotides) under uncultured Bacillus sp. RNAcentral describes it as "partial 16S ribosomal RNA". It matches the Rfam family "Bacterial small subunit ribosomal RNA", at positions 388 to 559 of the family's 1533-position model. The record is from RNAcentral. Lineage: Bacteria; Bacillati; Bacillota; Bacilli; Caryophanales; Bacillaceae.